CAUAUUACUGUUCAAAGGUUGUAUAGAACGCUCGUAUCAUAAGUGCAGUUUUAAGUACAGUACAGUACACAGUUACAGUCACAGUAUACAGUUCAGUUUAACUUUAUUCUGUUGUGGAACGUUCACAUUUUUUUUUUUUUUUACAUAAGUAUAAAAUAUAUAAGAUGAGAAUUUGGUGGUCAAAUUUGUCAAAAAAUGAAAAAUCUAUGGCUAAUCAAAGUAAGACACAUUCGCUUAUGGAAGAAGAAAUACAAUGGGCAAAAAAGGAAAAACAGAAAGUCAAAGCUCUGAAAAAAAAUAACAACAUAGUAAUGAACGACCACCUAUUGAAUUACCUGUUAACUAAAGAUAAUGGCAAUCUUAGUACUAAUGGAAUCGCAGGGAAAAUAUCUGUUUUAAUUAUUUUUCCGUUUUUAAUUUUAUUAUUUUUAAUUGUUAUGCUUUAUAUUUAAAAUAUUUAACGUUUAUUAUUUGUAUAUAUCAAAACUUGUUAUUUAUUUGUAUAGUUCUAUUAUAAUUUCUUUAAUUUUUAAAUUAAAAUUUCUAAUAAAUAUUACAUCCGUUUUCGUUUUAA
Adelges cooleyi (spruce gall adelgid) is the source of this 574-nucleotide long non-coding RNA. RefSeq lists it as uncharacterized. Lineage: Eukaryota; Metazoa; Arthropoda; Insecta; Hemiptera; Adelgidae. The transcript has 3 exons. The record is from RefSeq and is a predicted model, not a curated record.